AGGUGAUCCACCCGCCUCGGACUCCCAAGGUGUUGGGAUUACAGGCGUAGCCACUAUGCCCAGCCUAUAUAUGAAAAAUUGUCUGAAUAGAUGAUCUGUUCAUGUAGUUUAAGCCCAAAAGCUGUCCACGUGGAUACAAUACACUGAAAUGUUCCCUCUCACAGUGUCCCCAGUCACUGUUGCCUCUCCCACAGCCCUAGGGGUAUCCAUUCCUAGAUGUAAGUCAAUAUAAAAACACUCUUCUCCCUCCUUUUUAUACAAAAGCACCAAAGUAUUCAUCUUGUCCUGAUUUUGCUUGUUUUAGUUAACAAUAUGUCCUG
Molecule: long non-coding RNA, 320 nt
Filed under: Homo sapiens (human)
Lineage: Eukaryota; Metazoa; Chordata; Mammalia; Primates; Hominidae
Description: HSALNT0263689
Source: RNAcentral